AAAGUCUCUAAGGUUUGUGCUUUGACGGAAGAGUAUGGAGCUUCAAAAAAUUAACCUUCUAAUCGGAUUAGAUCUCAAGAUCUAAAAAUUCAAUAGAGAUAUGGAAGUUUAAGAAAGCGCAUGAAGAUCUAUUAAAGCAUGGUCAAGAAAGAAUCAUUCGACUGUUCUCUCUUUGCCGGCGAAUAUUCCAAUCCGGCGAUAGACAAAACAGAGAUGACGAGUUGGACGCGUGUAAACAAGUCAAUGAAAUUCAUUUGUACGGCACCACGUUUAGAGAUGACAGAGUGUGUUGCUUUGCCUAAGAGUUUUCUUGUUGGGCUUGGUUUUCAUUUUUAGGCCUUGUUAUAAAUAAUGGCCCAUGUUUGUUUUGGUUUACUAGUGUCCGGUUUUUUUGGC
RNA transcript from Arabidopsis thaliana (thale cress), 396 nucleotides. RefSeq lists it as uncharacterized. The transcript is spliced from 2 exons. The record is from RefSeq. Lineage: Eukaryota; Viridiplantae; Streptophyta; Magnoliopsida; Brassicales; Brassicaceae.